This 424-nucleotide ribosomal RNA is filed under the name uncultured prokaryote. Its description in RNAcentral is "bacterial SSU rRNA". It matches the Rfam family "Bacterial small subunit ribosomal RNA", at positions 355 to 796 of the family's 1533-position model. The record is from RNAcentral.
UGGGGAAUCUUCGACAAUGGGGGAAACCCUGAUGUAGCCAUGCCGCGUGAGUGACGAAGGCCCUAGGGUCGUAAAGCUCUUUCGCCAGGGAAGAUAAUGACGGUACCUGGUAAAGAAACCCCGGCUAACUCCGUGCCAGCAGCCGCGGUAAUACGGAGGGCGUUAGCGUUGUUCGGAAUUUCUGGGCGUAAAGCGCACGUAGGCGGACCAGUCAGUCAGGGGUGAAAUCCCAGGGCUCAACCCUGGAACAGCCUUUGAUACUGCUGGUCUCGAGUCCGAGAGAGGUGAGUGGAAUUCCGAGUGUAGAGGUGAAAUUCGUAGAUAUUCGGAGGAACACCAGUGGCGAAGGCGGCUCACUGGCUCGGUACUGACGCUGAGGUGCGAAAGCGUGGGGAGCAAACAGGAUUAGAUACCCCCGUAGUCC